UAUAUAAUUGCUUGAAAGUGUAUAUAAAACAUCCAAGAUUGAUAAUACAAUAGCAUGGAACAAUCAAAAAUCUAUAAUAACUAAAUAGUUCAUCCCCAUUAUCCUAUUUCUCUUCACAUGCAACUUAUCCACGUCAGCAUCAGUGCCACAUCAACGUUUAGUUAGAGGAUUACAUUGUGGGACCAAACAUGUACACCAGAGAACAGUCAUGUUAGCUUCAGUUACUAUCAGUAGGACCGGCGAGAGAGGCUGCCCACGCACCUCUAUUUCCGUCUGUGGCGAUUCCCAUCGCAUCCUUCCCAAACAGAGUGCCUCGCCAGUUCCCCACGGCAGCGGAUUCCCCUUCGUCUUCAUCUUCUCCAAUCUUCAUCAAAUCCCACUACACAACAAUUACUUUGUUGAUUCAGUUGCUCUUACGAUCUGGUAUUUAUCUCCGGGCCGCUUGCGAUUUGGCAAGGUAAGCGAUGGCGAGGACGUGCCCCCUUGCAACGAGAUCCACAGGCAGUCGUCGCAGCCCUGCCUCCGGCUUCCCCAACGUAGGGGCCCCCACCCUGGAAGAAGUGCGCCUCUCGGCGGAUGCCACUGUGCCGACAUCGAUUCCGGCCACUAUCGGCGAUUACCUUGCCGCCCUGUGUCGGGUGCCUCGACAGAAGGCCGGGAGGCUCCCGGUGGAGCGGCCAACCCAUCUCGGUGCCGCUCAACUUCCCCACCUCGCAUUCGCUGGGCUCUCGCUUGGAUGGACGCUCUUCCCGGCUACUCAGCCAUGGAGUGGACAUCGCGCCCGGGAGGUCUCCAGCCGGUGGACCUUUUUAUUUUCGGCCUUGAAGGGCUGUGCUGGUGGUGACAUCGGGUAGGGCCUCCAUUGAUAUUGAUAGCCAUGACUUGCAGGAGUGCUAGAUCGACGUCCUCCCGCAGGUGCCGCCUCGGCUGAUUCAGAGACGACAUUGACUGCGGCAAUGGUGGCCCUUCAUAGCAAGUGACAUUCUACUGCAGCAGUGGUGCCUUUUUGCUUUGGGGCAUCUGCGCUGGAAGUCUGGCUCCUUUCUAUCAGCGAUGGAUUUGCAAGGUAUUCAGUAAUUGAUGGUUGGAGCUCCCUAUCCUAAUAAUAUCCGAGAUGGUGCUCCCCAUCAUCUCAGGUGGUGCGCACUGGACGACGACCAAGUAGUCAUCUUCGUCGGUCCGUUCACUGCAUAUACAUACUCUGCAGAUUUUUGUCUCCCUACUGCAACGCGCGGGGCAUCUUCUAGUUAUAGAUACGUUGGAGACGUAUCAAGCAUCCUGAAGUUUAAUUCCAGCUCAUUCUCGAGUAGGUAAAUGACAAAAACAAAUUUUUUGAUGUGGAAUGCCACCUAACAUAUUCAUCAUAUUUUUUAUUCUUUUCUAGCAUGGAUAUUUUGACUUGAAUGGUUCAAAGCAAUAGUAUAUAAUUUUACAUGAAGACAUCAAUAGUUGAUACAUCUCCAACGUAUCUAUAAUUUAUGAAGUAUUCAUGCCAUGUUUCCAACAAUUUUAUAUGGUUGGGGUGCAAUUUUAUAUGAUUUAAACGGAACUAACCUGGACUGACGCUGUUUUCAGCAGAACUACCAUGGUGUUGUUUUUUGUGCAGAAAUCAAAGUUCUCCAAAUGCAGCGAAACUUUUUGACGAUUUUUUGGAAGAAAAAAGGCACUGGAAGCUUCGUCAGAGGGCCAGAAGAGCCACGAGGGCCCCACUAGGCACCAGGGCGUGCCAGGUGGGUCUGGCUCGCUCUGGUACCUAGUGGGCCCCUCUAGGCUCAUCUUCGCGUGCGAUUAACGCCAAAAGAUCCUAUAAACACAGAAACCCCCCAAAAUAACCCUAGAUCACAAGUUCCGCCGUCGUAGGCCUCUGUAGCCAUGAAAAACCAAUCUAGACCCUGUUCCGGUACCCUGCUAGAUAGGGAAAUCAUCACCGGAGGCCAUCUUCAUCAUCCCGGCGGCCACCAUGAUGAGGAGGGAGUAGUCCACCCUCGGGGCUGAGGGUUUG
This is a non-coding RNA of Aegilops tauschii subsp. strangulata, 2002 nucleotides long. The record is from RefSeq and is a predicted model, not a curated record. Lineage: Eukaryota; Viridiplantae; Streptophyta; Magnoliopsida; Poales; Poaceae.